RNAcentral lists this unclassified non-coding RNA (1833 nucleotides) under Melitaea cinxia (Glanville fritillary). RNAcentral describes it as "misc RNA ENSMCXG00005011669.1". The record is from RNAcentral. Lineage: Eukaryota; Metazoa; Arthropoda; Insecta; Lepidoptera; Nymphalidae.
AUCAGUAGGCUAUUACCUAUAACAAGCAUUAGGUUGCUUACUUUAGGAGCAGAUGAACGUGUGUGUAUGUUGUAAAUAUUUAUUUUAUUUAUUAUUUAUUUAUCGGUAAAAAAAUAUUUGAUUUAAAACUUUACUUAUAUAGCGCUUGUAAUUGUCACCAAUGCAAAUACUGAUUAAUGAUCAAAUUACAGUAUCUAAAAAAAUUGUCAUUGUAGACAUGUCCCAAAAGAUGCAUCGCCACUUUCCACCCCCACCCCAUUUAAAUUCAUCGGUACAUUUCGCCAGCUUUGUUUGAAAGCAACGUCACAAUUUUAAUCACUUAGGCCGGCGCGUCGGAGUUGACUCCGAACGAAACCGUAAUGGAGACAUUUUUAGGAGACUUUUUUUAAAUGGCAAAGCCUUAAAUUUUUUUUUCGCGGUUCGAAUUUUAAACGUGAUGAUUUCGCGGUUUUUAAUUACGACGGCUAGAUUUGCUCUUUUAUACCCGUAGUAAAUUUAUCAUGUUCAAUGCUAUCCAACCGUGUUUUAUGUUAAUUUUACCUAAUGUUCCCUCUUCUUAUUUGUAUGAAUGUGGUUAUAUUGUUCGCCAAAUUUUUGGUUAAGUAAAAAAAAAAGAUAUCAUGAAAUCCGAAAUGUUAGCCUCGCGUGAACAAAAUAUUAACGCUGUUACUUUUUGUCUGUGUUGAAAUGAUUAUGUAACUAUUAUAAUAAUAAAUUUAUAACAAAGUGUUAAAAAUAUAAGCAGAGUAACUGUUUAUUUAAAUAAUAAAAUCUUACGCGAAUUUCGCGAAAAUUCAGAAUUCUCAUUUAGAAUAUUGCGAAGACAAUUUAGUUUCCAGUCAGUCAGCGUUUCUUUUACGACUUAUUUUAUUUAAGAUCCAAACCAGCCCUCAUUAUUUGUCCCGCCCUUAGAAUUAUGACGGCGCCCGUAAUUACUGGACCCGCAAAUUACAGGCUAAACCGACUUUUAUUACAUUUCAUUUAACAUAGUAGCGGUUUUGUAGUUAUCGUUGAUUAAUUAUUACCAUUUUAAUUUUAGUUUUACGAUAUUUAAAAAAGCAGGAGACUUAUUGUUUUGAGCAAAAAAAAUAUCACUUCAGUUUGAUAGUUGUUGAAAUCAUAAGCAGUGACAGAUUUGUGAGUUGCAAGUACUCUUAUAAAUGAGCUAAUACGAUCAGAAAUGUAUAUUAAUAUACAUAGUUGAUAUUGUACCUUAAAACGAAUAAAACUACUAAGAGAAGUUAAAUACAAUUUUUAUAUAAUUCUUUUGAUAUAAAUUUUUUGAAAUAACUAAGUAAAUUAUUAUGAUAAAUUAUAUGAUAUGAUAAAUUUAUGUAAAUAAAUAAAAUAAAAAAGAAAUUUGAGAAAUAAAAAUACGAAAUCUUAACGAUGUUGAAAUACCAAGAAAUCUAAUAAUAAAUAAUGCUAUUUACAUAAAUUUUUAUCUGUAAUGUGGGACCCGUGGGAAGACAGUAAAUGAUAAUAAAUUCCUUUUUUUCUAACGUUCAUUUAUAAAUAAAAAAGAUUUAGUUCAGCAAUGAAAUAUGCAAGCGGAAACCAUUCAACGUUUGUACUGCAUUUUUAAUUUUUUUACCUUUGCUAAGUGUCGUGAUAUAAAGCUCAUAAUUACCGGUCAAUAAAAUGGCGAGUGGUGGUAGAAAGGUGGUCAGCGGUCGGUGGUCGGGUUCACACGACGGUGGGUGAUUACCGCCAAAAAAAAGUUAAAUAAAAUUUAAACUCUGUUCACAAUAAUAUAUUUAUUACUUUAUUAGGUACUAUCACGCGAACUUUAGGGUUCGUUAAAAAUGACAGCUUUUUUUUCGAUAUCAUUAC